This 312-nucleotide ribosomal RNA is filed under the name uncultured Glomeromycotina. RNAcentral describes it as "LSU rRNA". The record is from RNAcentral. Lineage: Eukaryota; Fungi; Glomeromycota.
UUGAAAGGGAAACGAUUGAAGUCAGUCAUGCCGGUGGGAAUCAACUUAGGGGAAACUCUAGGUGCACUUCUUCGCUUGGCAGGUUAACGUCGAUCUUGAAUGCCAUAAAAUAAUUGGGGGAAGGUAGCUCCUUCGGGAGUGUUAUAGCCCUUGAUAGAUGUGAUGUUUGGGGUCGAGGAUUGCAACGGAUACCCUCUGGGGCUAGCUGCCUGAUCUCUAAUUGGUGUUGGGUUACGGAUAGCAUGCUGACCGUGAUCUAAUUACUGGUUAAAAGGUUAGAGUGUGCAUAAAUUCGUUAAGGAUGUUGACGUA